AAGGAGAUCCAUCACCGCCUCCACUUCUGGUUCCAACUCAAUCUUCGAACUCCUCCUAUCUGAGGACAAUGAAACACAAGAUGAAGAGCUUGGUGCCAUAGCUCAAAGCACAUGUUGGAUUAGCCAAAAGUAAGCUCGAAUCUCGAAAAUCAAAUCCGCAAGCAAAAAUGCCCUUUACAUUAUCACCCCAUGGAUCACAAAGCCGAUUAAGGUGGUAUGAUCGCUAACCAAGCUUUGAUAUUGUAACAUCCAUAAAAUACUAACUCAAAUCAUCCACUAAAAUUCGUUUUCAAAAUCCUUUCCUUCCCGGCGACUUCGCCGUCCCGGCACCCAAUGCCGACAACCAUCUUUUUCUUCCUUCGCAAAUUUCACCGCGUGCCCGUCAAAAAGCCGUCACACGUGCCCGACUCUCCCUCUCUUUUCUCUUUUCUUUUUCCCCUUCUCCUUUUUCCCUUUUCUUUUUCUUCCUUCUCUUUCUUCCUUUCUUCCUUCUUCCUUCUUUCUUCUUCUUUCUUCCUCCUUCUCCUUUCUUCCUGGCGCACACCAGCUCUUGGCUCCCGGCGCACCCCAGCUCCUCCCCUGGCCAGACCCAAGAACCACUCCCCACACCGACCCCCCUCUCCUUGGCCCACCCGCGCCCUCUCCCGCACGCUAGCUAUAACAACCUAGGUGCUUAAAUGGUGUUUUAAUCGUAAGAGCAAGUCCUUUGUGCUUAACGAAGAGUUUUGGCAACAUUUAGGCAAAGUCUAAGCUUUGGGGCUCUCUAUUUAGAGGUCUCCAAUGUCAUCUUGAGCUGAGCCCUAUACCAAAGUUUCUGAGCUUCGGGACCUUAACAAUUUUGCUUUAAGGAGCAAGUUUCAAAUCUAGGUCAAAGUUCCCUAGUUUGGUCAACUCAGCCUCUUUAGCCAUUCCGGCUAUGUCUGGAAUUCAGCUCGACCUGGCGCCUUAAGGCGGGUUUAUCUUUGGAAAGUUGAGCAGAACAUCCAGAAACCCCUUUUUAGAAGUUGGAGAACUAAGUUCCUACAACAACCUUGCUAAUUGGACCUUGGUCCAAUUCACCUUCGAAGCUUCCCAAAUCUGCAGCUCAAAUCAACCCAGAACCGUGAACACCAGUCAAAACCGUCUCUUUUCUCUAAGUCCUAAAACCGGUGUUCCUCCAAACUUUGGAUCUUUGAAUCUCCAAAUCCACCGCGUUUUUGAACUCGGUCAAGUUACAAGAGUUGGACCUUGCUCUGUGUACUACAACUCUUGUAAAGGGAGUCAACGUGGUGCAGUUUGAAAAUCGGGAGAUCAAGAGGCUGGAAGAUGGGCCCGACAAAGGAUCUUGCGGAUCCGUUGGCCAGACAGCGCCAGAGCGCGCGUGCGCCACGCUCAGAGCGCCACUGCCGC
RNAcentral lists this long non-coding RNA (1389 nucleotides) under Setaria viridis. Its description in RNAcentral is "long non-coding RNA (SVIR_LNC006690)". The record is from RNAcentral. Lineage: Eukaryota; Viridiplantae; Streptophyta; Magnoliopsida; Poales; Poaceae.